This 2296-nucleotide long non-coding RNA is filed under the name Triticum aestivum (bread wheat). RNAcentral describes it as "long non-coding RNA (TAES_LNC005295)". The record is from RNAcentral. Lineage: Eukaryota; Viridiplantae; Streptophyta; Magnoliopsida; Poales; Poaceae.
CAAAUUCAAUACAACAUAUACUUUUUCAGCCACUUUCAGCCCAAGAAUGCAUUUCAAGUAAACAACGGAUAAUAUUGUGAGUAUAUGUACAUAACUACCAGCAUUCGAGUAACAUGUGCAACAGUACAUCAAAAUUCUCAACAAAUUUAGCAUUACAAGUCAAUAACAUAUAAAGCAAGUUGCUAACUGGGGCUUUAAGCUUUCUCCGAAUUUCUUCGGGUAGAAUUCCUGUAAAUGAGAGGAACAUACACAUGUUUAGAGUCUCAACAUAGGCAAUAUUUGUUAGCAAUAAAAUAGAAAAAUUAAUUCAAGAACCAUGCAAGAGCCUAGGUUUUACUAUCAUUUUGACACCAUAGAGUAACAUCCAAGAAUACCACGAGUUGAUGCAUUAUUCUAGCAUAACCAAAUUAGAAACAUCCCUUGCUGUUCUAUUUUAACCUUACUACUACCUCCGUUCCUAAAUAUAUGAGAUCUUGGUUCAUUUCAGUAAUUUAGAAAGAGGGGUGAUGGGGCAUAGAACCUUGAGCCAUUGUUGUGGGGUUGUGGCUGAUGAAGGUUACCUUUUGGGGCCCCAAAUUAGAAACAUCCCUUGUUGUUCUAUUUUAACCUUACUACUACCUCCGUUCCUAAAUAUAUGAGAUCUUGGUUCAUUUCAGUAAUUUAGAAAGAGGGGUGAUGGGGCAUAGAACCUUGAGCCAUUGUUGUGGGGUUGUGGCUGAUGAAGGUUACCUUUUGGGGCCCCAAAGGCAGCUCCGCCAGAUGCAACAGCAACACCUCCAACAACCACAACAACAGCAGCAGCACCACCAAUAAUGACCUGCGUGGCAUUUCAGGUCAUCAUUACAGAAGAAAAUAAUUAAGAAACAAGCAACCAAUAUAGCUUCAGCAUUACAUGUACAGAUUUUAGCUUUUUCUACCUAAGUACAAAUAGCAAAAUGGAACAUAGGCAGGUUUAUUAUAUUUGACAGAGCUACUUGGACAAGAAAGAGAACAUAGCGCCGCGACUUGUUGAGGACAGAAAUAAUAAUGUUUGAUUCAUAAAUUACAAAUUAGUAAUAUGGGGAUUAAGAGCAUGCCCACAGAAAGCUAAUUGGCAAACAAAACUUAUUGGUCAGUUCUCAACAUAGAGCAAAGUGGCAAAUGAUAAUGUUUGUUACAAUAAUUAACAGGGCAGUAGCUCAACCUAAAGAAAGGCAGCAGAACUUAUAUGAAAGAAACCGAGUUGUAAGUGUAUAAAGAGCGAUCAAUGAUUCAUUCCGGAGACAAACAUUAAUAUGGGGAUUAAGAGCAUGCCCACAGAAAGCUAAUUGGCAAACAAAACUUAUUGGUCAGUUCUCAACACAGAGCAAAGUGGCAAAUGAUAAUGUUUGUUACAAUAAUUAACAGGGCAGUAGCUCAACCUAAAGAAAGGCAGCAGAACUUAUAUGAAAGAAACCGAGUUGUAAGUGUAUAAAGAGCGAUCAAUGAUUCAUUCUGGAGACAUGGUAAUUUCUUCUAACAUAUUGUACUAUCAAGUAAACUCUCACAAGAAAGAUGCCCCAGUAAGUAAGCUGAAUGGGUGACAAACUGAAUAGUGAAACAAGUUGAUAGUUGUACACUAUAGUGUUUUACGCAUAGUCAAACUGAAUGAACUAGAUGAUACCCCGCGCGUUGCUGCAGGACACUUAGUUGACGUUAAGGAUUUUCUUAUAAAUGAAAGAAUGAAAUGCCAAACUGGUUUUGAGAAUUCGAGAACAACAAUGUGACAAAAGCGUAAGUAUGCAUUGGCAGUAGAGUAGGUUUUCUUAAACAAUGAAUAGAGUGUAUUGCAACCUACUGGAUUAACAAUGCUUUGGUCACUGAGAUAUUUUCUUAAUUAUCUAAUAGUGUGAACUAUAUUAUUUGACACUGCACUGUAUAGUAAUAGGUUAGAGAGGAUAAUAAAGGGGGGCGUUGAGGAAGCAAGUACAUAAGUACAUGAUAUUUAUACAUUUAUAAAGGUAAAAGCUAAAAAACAUGUACACCUUUUUUUCCUUCGAUAAACAGAGAGAUUUGCAAUUGUCAUAUGACAUAUGAGUGCUAGAUUGUCCGUUUUAUACAAUUUUGAUUUGAUAGUAGCCAGUCAAGUAAGCGUUUUUUUGGGUGUGAAUUGAUCAACAGAAGUUUGAAGCAAUGAAUGAUGGUGCAAAUAGCUGUAUUUAAUUGCAUACGCUAGCAGUAGGAGGCAACCUUAUAUGAAGAUAAAAAAGGGGGUUCUCUAAGGUAACUAACAUUAUGUGACAAAAAUGAAAAAGGGGUCACCCUUAGUGGAUGCCAG